AGUCACUGACAUUAGAUACCCCCGUAGUCCAGGGUGUAAACGCUGCAGACUUGGUGUUGGGAACCCUUCGGGGGUGCUCAGUGCCGGAGAGAAGUUGUUAAGUCUGCUACUUGGGGAGUACGUCCGCAAAGGAUGAAACUUAAGGAAUUGGCGGGGGAGCACCGCAACGGGAGGAGCGUGCGGUUUAAUUGGAUUCAACGCCGAAAAACUCACCAGCAGCGACUGUUACAUGAAAGUCAGGUUGAUGACCUUACUAGAUUUUCAG
This 265-nucleotide ribosomal RNA is filed under the name uncultured archaeon. Its description in RNAcentral is "partial 16S ribosomal RNA". It matches the Rfam family "Archaeal small subunit ribosomal RNA", at positions 718 to 982 of the family's 1478-position model. The record is from RNAcentral.